GGAGUAAUUUCUCCUAAACAAAUCAUCUUUCAGGAAAAACGGAGCAUUUGCUAUCGAACUGAGAGUCUCCUCAUUGAAAACAUCUGAAGUUCUUCAAAGAGGUGAUGACUACUCCACUCCACUACCAUUGUCAACUCUCUCCUUACAUGAACUGAAGCCAUGUCUCAUGUACCUGCUCAUCCACUGGCACAUUGAAUUCAAAUCCUGUCCUGCCCUCAGUGGAAGUUGAGCUCUUCCUCAACACCAUCCAUCCAUGAUGAGCCUGUCCUGCACUGAAGCCAAUGAACACCUCAAACCCGGUCCUGCAUUGAAGUCAAGCCUGUGAACACCUCAACUCAUGCCUCAUACCCUCAUUCAAUCACUGCUGUAAUCCCUUCCCAACACUGUGUUCUGUCCAGAAGCAGUGUCUUCAGUCCCCGAAACAAGUACAGAUUGACAGGAUAAAGUGUCACUGGCCGAUCCUGACAAAGUUUAUACAGCCAUACCGGCAGCAGGCAACAAGCCUGCAGGCGGCAUCCGCACGUGCACACACACAC
Oncorhynchus tshawytscha (Chinook salmon) is the source of this 536-nucleotide long non-coding RNA. The record is from Ensembl. NCBI's taxonomy places the organism in Eukaryota, Metazoa, Chordata, Actinopteri, Salmoniformes, Salmonidae.